This is a long non-coding RNA of Chenopodium quinoa (quinoa), 507 nucleotides long. RefSeq lists it as uncharacterized. The record is from RefSeq and is a predicted model, not a curated record. Lineage: Eukaryota; Viridiplantae; Streptophyta; Magnoliopsida; Caryophyllales; Amaranthaceae. The transcript has 2 exons.
GUGAACUAAACAAAAGACAAAGUGACUCGUUGACAGUGGUGAAGACAAUCAACCAAGUAUCUAGGGGCUUCUCUCCAGCUUACAUUGUGUAUGAUGACAUUAAAAAGUUUUCUAAUUUCUUUCCUCCGUUUGUUUUUUCUCAUGUGAAAAGCGCCAGUAAUACCGUUGCCCACUUAAUUGCGAGAUGGGUACUAACGGUAACUUGAAACGUCUUUGUAUGAACUCCUUUCUCCAGAACUUGAUUUAAUUUAAUUUAAUUUUCGGCUUACUUUUGUUCUAAAAAAACCAAAAGACGAUUUGUUAAAACAAAGAAAAAAAAUGAAAAAAAAAAACAAUGAACAAGUUAAAUUGUCCUUCUUCUAUUAACUCUUCUCCAUCAACAGCAGCAGACUGCAGAGCUGUGUUCAAAAUUUGCCUGUUUUCUCCCCUUCAUGAAAAUGAAAAAGUGAUAAAAAAAAGAGCAUAUGCAUCCUGGGAUAGCUUCUCUCAUUAUCCGGUUUGGCAAGG